RNAcentral lists this small RNA (888 nucleotides) under uncultured fungus. RNAcentral's name for it is "eukaryotic LSU rRNA". The stretch from base 529 to 888 matches the Rfam family "Eukaryotic large subunit ribosomal RNA", at positions 1 to 353 of the family's 3401-position model. Lineage: Eukaryota; Fungi. The record is from RNAcentral.
GGAAGGAUCAUUAUUGAAAUAAAUCUGAUGGGUUGUUGCUGGUUCUCUAGGGAGCAUGUGCACGCCUUGUCAUCUUUAUAUCUCCACCUGUGCACCUUUUGUAGACCUUUCAGGUCUAUGUUGCUUCAUUUACCCCAAUGUAUGUUAAUAGAAUGUUGUGCCUAUAUACAAUAUAUACAACUUUCAGCAACGGAUCUCUUGGCUCUCGCAUCGAUGAAGAACGCAGCGAAAUGCGAUAAGUAAUGUGAAUUGCAGAAUUCAGUGAAUCAUCGAAUCUUUGAACGCACCUUGCGCUCCUUGGUAUUCCGAGGAGCAUGCCUGUUUGAGUGUCAUUAAUAUAUCAACCUUCUCUUGUGGAAUGGUUUGGAUGUGGGGGUUUGCUGGUCUCAUAUAUAUAUAUAUGGGUUCAGCUCUCCUGAAAUGCAUUAGCAGAACGACCUGUUCAUUGGUGUGAUAACUAUCUACGCUAUUGAAUGUGAGGGGCAGUUCAGCUUUCCAACAGUCCUUUUGGACAACUCAUCAUUAAUGUGACCUCAAAUCAGGUAGGACUACCCGCUGAACUUAAGCAUAUCAAUAAGCGGAGGAAAAGAAACUAACAAGGAUUCCCCUAGUAACUGCGAGUGAAGCGGGAAAAGCUCAAAUUUAAAAUCUGGCGGUCUUUUGGCUGUCCGAGUUGUAAUCUAGAGAAGUGUUAUCCGCGCUGGACCGUGUACAAGUCUCCUGGAAUGGAGCAUCAUAGAGGGUGAGAAUCCCGUCUUUGACAUGGACUGCCAGGGCUUUGUGAUGCGCUCUCAAAGAGUCGAGUUGUUUGGGAAUGCAGCUCAAAAUGGGUGGUAAAUUCCAUCUAAAGCUAAAUAUUGGCGAGAGACCGAUAGCGAACAAGUACCG